UGGGGCGUCGCCAAGCGGUAAGGCAUCGGGUUUUGGUCCCGACAUCCAGAGGUUCGAAUCCUUUCGCCCCAG
This 72-nucleotide transfer RNA is filed under the name Planktothrix serta PCC 8927. RNAcentral describes it as "tRNA-Gln". It matches the Rfam family "tRNA". Rfam says of the family: Transfer RNA (tRNA) molecules are approximately 80 nucleotides in length. Their secondary structure includes four short double-helical elements and three loops (D, anti-codon, and T loops). Further hydrogen bonds mediate the characteristic L-shaped molecular structure. tRNAs have two regions of fundamental functional importance: the anti-codon, which is responsible for specific mRNA codon recognition, and the 3' end, to which the tRNAs corresponding amino acid is attached (by aminoacyl-tRNA synthetases). tRNAs cope with the degeneracy of the genetic code in two manners: having more than one tRNA (with a specific anti-codon) for a particular amino acid; and 'wobble' base-pairing, i.e. permitting non-standard base-pairing at the 3rd anti-codon position. The record is from RNAcentral. Lineage: Bacteria; Bacillati; Cyanobacteriota; Cyanophyceae; Oscillatoriales; Microcoleaceae.